GAUGAACGCUGGCGGCGUGCCUAAUACAUGCAAGUCGAACGCACAGCGAAAGGUGCUUGCCCCUUUCACGUGAGUGGCGAACGGGUGAGUAACACGCGGACAACCUGCCUCAAGGCUGGGGAUAACAUUUGGAAACAGAUGCUAAUACCGAAUAAAACUUAGUGUCGCAUGACACAAAGUUAAAAGGCGCUUCGGCGUCACCUAGAGAUGGAUCCGCGGUGCAUUAGUUAGUUGGUGGGGUAAAGGCCUACCAAGACAAUGAUGCAUAGCCGAGUUGAGAGACUGAUCGGCCACAUUGGGACUGAGACACGGCCCAAACUCCUACGGGAGGCUGCAGUAGGGAAUCUUCCACAAUGGGCGAAAGCCUGAUGGAGCAACGCCGCGUGUGUGAUGAAGGCGUUCGGGUCGUAAAGCACUGUUGUAUGGGAAGAACAGCUAGAAUAGGAAAUGAUUUUAGUUUGACGGUACCAUACCAGAAAGGGACGGCUAAAUACGUG
This 497-nucleotide ribosomal RNA is filed under the name uncultured bacterium. RNAcentral's name for it is "partial 16S ribosomal RNA". It matches the Rfam family "Bacterial small subunit ribosomal RNA", at positions 28 to 507 of the family's 1533-position model. The record is from RNAcentral.